This is a long non-coding RNA of Dreissena polymorpha, 256 nucleotides long. RefSeq lists it as uncharacterized. Lineage: Eukaryota; Metazoa; Mollusca; Bivalvia; Myida; Dreissenidae. The record is from RefSeq and is a predicted model, not a curated record. The transcript is spliced from 3 exons.
AUAAGAUGUAAGCGCAGAUGUGAACUUAUUUCAAUGUAGUGUUUCAAAUGGGAUUUAUCAUCGUUUUGCUUUUCGCUGCUUGUUUAAGCAGCGUGAACGGAAACUACCAAUAUGUCCUGGCACCCAACGUGAUCCGACUUGAAAACGAGGAGACCCUGCUUGUUGGCAUUCUUGGGAAUGGAAGGAAUCAGCUCGUUACGGUAUACUUUGAAUAUAUGAACCAGGCGAUCUCCAGGAAAGAAAUAAUGAUAGCAGA